UGGGGAUUGGUGUAACGGUAGCACGAGUGACUCUGACUCACUUAGUCUAGGUUCGAAUCCUAGAUCCCCAA
This 71-nucleotide transfer RNA is filed under the name Gemmata sp. SH-PL17. It matches the Rfam family "tRNA". From Rfam's summary of the family: Transfer RNA (tRNA) molecules are approximately 80 nucleotides in length. Their secondary structure includes four short double-helical elements and three loops (D, anti-codon, and T loops). RNAcentral also lists the same sequence under 10 other names. The record is from Rfam by way of RNAcentral. Lineage: Bacteria; Pseudomonadati; Planctomycetota; Planctomycetia; Gemmatales; Gemmataceae.